Molecule: ribosomal RNA, 497 nt
Filed under: uncultured bacterium
Lineage: Bacteria
Description: partial 16S ribosomal RNA
Rfam family: Bacterial small subunit ribosomal RNA
Source: RNAcentral
GAUGAACGCUGGCGGCGUGCCUAAUACAUGCAAGUCGAGCGAACAGACGAGGAGCUUGCUCCUCUGACGUUAGCGGCGGACGGGUGAGUAACACGUGGAUAACCUACCUAUAAGACUGGGAUAACUUCGGGAAACCGGAGCUAAUACCGGAGAAUAUAUUGAACCGCAGGGUUCAAUAGUGAAAGACGGUUUUGCUGUCACUUAUAGAUGGAUCCGCGCCGCAUUAGCUAGUUGGUAAGGUAACGGCUUACCAAGGCGACGAUGCGUAGCCGACCUGAGAGGGUGAUCGGCCACACUGGAACUGGGACACGGACCAGACUCCUACGGGAGGCAGCAGUAGGGAAUCUUCCGCAAUGGGCGAAAGCCUGACGGAGCAACGCCGCGUGAGUGAUGAAGGUCUUCGGAUCGUAAAACUCUGUUAUGAGGGAAGAACAAAUGUGUAAGUAACUAUGCACGUCUUGACGGUACCUAAUCAGAAAGCCACGGCUAACUACGUG